This 226-nucleotide unclassified non-coding RNA is filed under the name Ascomycota sp. RNAcentral's name for it is "partial contains small subunit ribosomal RNA, internal transcribed spacer 1, and 5.8S ribosomal RNA". The stretch from base 1 to 47 matches the Rfam family "Eukaryotic small subunit ribosomal RNA", at positions 1785 to 1831 of the family's 1831-position model. The record is from RNAcentral. Lineage: Eukaryota; Fungi; Ascomycota.
AAAGUCGUAACAAGGUCUCCGUUGGUGAACCAGCGGAGGGAUCAUUAACGAGUUUUCCAAACUCCAAACCUUUGUGAACAUACCGAUCGUUGCUUCGGCAGGCGGCUCCGGGGGAGCACAAGGCCAUUCGUGGCGCCUGCCGAAAGCCCCAAACUCUUUUUCUAGGAAUUUUCCUGAGUACCAAACAAACAAGUAAAAACUUUCAACAACGGAUCUCUUGGUUCUG